RNAcentral lists this ribosomal RNA (551 nucleotides) under Pediococcus pentosaceus. RNAcentral's name for it is "bacterial SSU rRNA". It matches the Rfam family "Bacterial small subunit ribosomal RNA", at positions 103 to 642 of the family's 1533-position model. The record is from RNAcentral. Lineage: Bacteria; Bacillati; Bacillota; Bacilli; Lactobacillales; Lactobacillaceae.
CGGGCGAGUAACACGAGGGUAACCUGCCCAGAAGUAGGGGAUAACACCUGGAAACAGAUGCUAAUACCGUAUAACAGAGAAAACCGCAUGGUUUUCUUUUAAAAGAUGGCUCUGCUAUCAAUUUUGGAUGGACCCGCGGCGUAUUAUCUAGUUGGUGAGGUAAAGGCUCACCAAGGCAGUGAUACGUAGCCGACCUGAGAGGGUAAUCGGCCACAUUGGGACUGAGACACGGCCCAGACUCCUACGGGAGGCAGCAGUAGGGAAUCUUCCACAAUGGACGCAAGUCUGAUGGAGCAACGCCGCGUGAGUGAAGAAGGGUUUCGGCUCGUAAAGCUCUGUUGUUAAAGAAGAACGUGGGUAAGAGUAACUGUUUACCCAGUGACGGUAUUUAACCAGAAAGCCACGGCUAACUACGUGCCAGCAGCCGCGGUAAUACGUAGGUGGCAAGCGUUAUCCGGAUUUAUUGGGCGUAAAGCGAGCGCAGGCGGUCUUUUAAGUCUAAUGUGAAAGCCUUCGGCUCAACCGAAGAAGUGCAUGGAAACUGGGAGACU